RNA transcript from Juglans microcarpa x Juglans regia, 3708 nucleotides. It is a transcript of the gene named putative disease resistance protein RGA3, with no coding region annotated. NCBI's taxonomy places the organism in Eukaryota, Viridiplantae, Streptophyta, Magnoliopsida, Fagales, Juglandaceae. The record is from RefSeq and is a predicted model, not a curated record. The transcript is spliced from 2 exons.
CUUGUCCUCUGUACGCAUUCAAAGCAAACAUAUCCUUCCUUCUAUCCCUUUAGUGAUUCCUCAAGAGCCCUUUUUACCAUUCCUUCACCAACCAUCAACAAAUGGCAGAAGCCAUUCUCUUCGACGUUGCUGCACGAAUCAUUGAGAGCUUGGGAUCCCAAACUCUCAAAGAGAUCAGACUGCUUUGGGGUGUCACAGAUGAGCUUGAGAAGCUCAAGAACACCGUUUCGACAAUCCAAGCCGUGCUUCUUGAUGCUGAGGAGCAAUGGACAGUGAACCGUGAAGUUACAGAUUGGCUUGAAAAGCUCAAGGAUGUCGUUUAUGAUGUAGACGACUUGCUAGAUGGUUUCUCCACUGAAUGUCUGUUGCGAGAGAUGAUGACUCAUGAUAAGAUGGCAAAAAAGGUACGAAUCUUCUUCUCCAAAUCAAACCAGCUUGUCUAUGAUCUGAAAAUGGGCCAUAAGAUUAAGGCGAUUAGACAGAAGUUAGAUGCCAUCGCAAAUGAUAGGAAAUUCCACUUGGAGGAACGCCCUGUGGAGAUAGGAGUCAGGGCAAGGAAGAGGGAUGAUACUCAUUCCUUUGUACCCGAGGCAGAAAUUAUUGGUAGAGAAGAUGACAAGAAGGAGAUCAUAGAUAUACUUCUUUCUGAUUCCAAUGUUAAAGUGAAUGUAGGAAUCCUUCCGAUUACUGGCAUCGGAGGAUUAGGAAAGACCACACUAGCUCAAUUCAUCUUUAAUGAUGAGGAAAUAGAUAAACAUUUUCAACUAAAAAUGUGGGUGUGCGUCUCUGAUACUUUUGAUGUUAGAAAAGUUGUUGAAAAAAUCCUAGAAUCGGCAAUAAAACAGAAACCAGACAUUACUGUUCAAAUGGAUACGUUGGUGCAUGGUCUUCGAAAAGAAAUUGUUGGAAAGAAAUACUUACUUGUGUUGGAUGAUGUUUGGAAUGAGGAAAGUGAGAAAUGGGAUAAAUUGAAAAAUUUGUUGAUGGGUGGUGCAAGUGGGAGUAGAAUAUUAAUAACUACACGAAGUCCAAAAGUUGCACAAAUUACCCAAACAAUUGGACCAUAUUUCUUACAGGGUUUAGACAGCCAGAAGUCAUGGUGUUUAUUUAAGAAAGUGGCAUUUGAGAACGGAGAAGAGCUAGUGAAUUCUAGAAAAGUGGAAGUUGGAAUGGAGAUUGUAGAAAAGUGUUCAGGUGUCCCUCUUGUCAUCAAAACAAUUGGAAGGUUACUGUCCUUGGAAAAUUCUGAAGCAGAGUGGGUUUCUUUUAACAACAAUAAACUGCAAAAAAUAAAAGAAGAUAAAAUCAUACCAACUCUUAAGCUGAGUUAUGAUCAACUUCCAUCACAUUUGAAACAAUGCUUUGCUUAUUGUAGUAUAUUUCCCAAGGAUUACGUGAUGAAGAAAUCAAAAUUGAUAAAUCUAUGGAUAGCACAGGGUUUAUCAAGCUAUCCAAUCAAAAUGAAUGUCUUGAAGAUGUUGGUCAUGAGUAUUUCAUGGAUUUACUUUGGAGAUCGUUCUUUCAAGAAGCUGAAAUGGAUGAUUUGGGAAACGUGAUUACAAGUAAAAUGCAUGACCUCAUGCAUGAUCUCGCAAUGUCAGUGGCAGGAUCAUUGAUCACCAAAUUAGAAUCUAAGGAAAAAAUUAUUGGUGAUCAGAAAACUCGGCACGUAUCAGUUAUCAACAAUAUAGAAUUUUCCUUUGUAAUUCCAACUUCCUCGUCUAAAGCCAGAAGGAUUCGAACACUUCUUUCGCUUGGUGAAUUGAAGGAUUUGCAAGAGUCAAGCACUUCUUGUGAAGCAAUCUUUUCAAGUUUGAAGUAUUUGCGAGUGUUGGAUUUACAUGGAAGACAGCUUGAUUUAGUACCGAGUUCUAUAUGUAAGUUGAAGCAUUUAAGAGAUCUUGAUCUUUCUAGGAAUCAAAAAAUCGAGAAGCUGCCCGAUUCCAUAUCUAGGUUGCAAAAUUUGUAUACACUAAGACUCUCUGGUUGCAGAGGGAUUAAAGAAUUGCCUAGUGGAAUUACGAAAUUAGUCAACCUCAGGCAUCUUUACAAUGAUGGAUGUUGGAGUUUGACUUAUAUGCCGCGUGGAUUGGGGCAAUUGACAAAUCUUCAGACAUUAUCUAAGUUUGUUGUCCACUCUGAUUCGGCCCCAAAGGAUAGUGGCCGGUUAAGCGAGCUAAAUAGACUAAAUAGCUUAAGAGGAGAAUUAGAGAUUUCGGGUUUGAGAAGUCGGGAGGAAGACAUCGCAUUAGACUAUAAGGGUGCAAAUCUAAAAGAGAAAGAACAUCUUCAGGUUUUGACUUUACGUUGGAGAAGAGGAAAUGUUAAUGCAGAUGAUGAAAUGGCCUUGGAAGGCUUUGAACCUCACCCAAAUCUUAAAAAGCUGAACAUAUAUGAAUAUGGGGUGUGAGGGUUCCGAUGUGGCUUUUGUCACUUACAAAUCUGGUUCACUUGAGUUUACAUGGUUGUACGAAAUUGAAAUAUUUGCCACCAUUGGUGGAGGAGGAGUGAUUCUUAUAAUGUGGAUGUCAAUACGACGGGGAAUGCUUUACUAUUCCCUCGUCUUUCAAAUUUAAGAAUAUGGAAUUGCCCUAUGUUGACUUCAUUGCCUUUUCAUCUGCUUCCUCCAGAAACAGUUCCAGUGAAAAACCUUAUAUCUCUCCAGUAUUUGGAGUUAAGCCUCUGCCCUAAAUUAAAGUCUCUCUCCCAUGGUGUACAAUAUCUCACUGCACUUCAACAACUGAAGCUUAGUGUCCUAUGCUUGAUCUAGGCAACGAUGAGCACGGUACGCAAUGGAAAGAGCUUAAAAGCCUCAUCUCUUUGGAGUUUGUCGGUAUUCCAAAAUUGGUGUCUCUCCCAUUGGGGCUUCAACAUGUUACCACUCUACGACAGCUCCGAAUCUCAAAUUGUUCAAGUUUGAUGACUAUACCAGAGUGGAUAUGCAAUUGUGCAUCACUUGAGCAAUUCGCAAUUUCUACAUGCUCUGGUUUAACAUCACUGCCUGAAGCAAUGAGUAGGCUAACCACUUUGAAAGUGUUGACAAUUCAUGAUUGCCCCAUCUUAUUACAAAGAUGCGAACAAGACAGAGGUGAGGAUUGGCCCAAGAUUGCUCACAUCCCAGAGCUGGAGUACUUUGAUCCUCAACUGGAAUACGACUGAUCUAGAAACGACUUUGAGUAAAGAAGAAACAGGGGAGAGGGACUGAGAGUUUGUUAAAAAAUCUAAUGUACUGCGACUUCUACAAGUAAAUAACUUAGUUAUGAUUACCUCGCUUUCUUUAUUGUUUUAUUCUUCCCUAGUCAAAUAAGAAAUAUCACCAUAUGCAUGAUUCUUCACAUCCAGGAGAAUGGUAAGGAGGAGGAAGAAGAGCAAAGGGAAGAAAUAUAGGAGGCAGCAAUGUUGAGGCUAUGUAAUUUCACGACGACAAUUUCAACAGGGUCUGCAUAUUUCUUAGCAUGGAAAGUGAUGGUAAUUUGAUUUUUGCUGAACUUGGGAUGAUACUAAUCAUUCUUUUGUACCUGAGGUAGAAGUUAUUGGUAGAAAGGAUGACAAGAAGAAGAUCAGAGAUAUACUUAUUUCUGAUUCCAAUGUUAAAGAGAAUGUAGGAAUCCUUCCGAUUAUAUACUGGCAUCGGAGGAUUAGGAAUGACCACACUAGCUCAAUUCAUUUUCAAUGAGCAGACGAUCCAAAAAUAUUUUCAGUUAAAAA